Molecule: long non-coding RNA, 5317 nt
Organism: Falco peregrinus (peregrine falcon)
Lineage: Eukaryota; Metazoa; Chordata; Aves; Falconiformes; Falconidae
Exons: 3
Source: RefSeq, a predicted model, not a curated record
GGCUAAAGCAGAGACAUUUAAGUCUCGCAUACCUGUUGUAUUUCCAAAGAAAAACGCUAGAGCUCACAACCACUGCUGUGUUUCUGAGUUCAGCUAACUAGUAAUGUCUUCAGCAUGGAAAGCACAAGCUCGUGUAAGCAUUGGCUUUCUCCUGAAUGUGCAGCUCUUUGGAAACUUCCAACGACCUAAUUACAGAUGUAUCUAGAUGCAUCUCUUUUGGAUUCAUUCAUAUGCUGUCUUUCUGUCAGCUCCCACCCGAUUCUUGUGGUGGAUUCAACUCUCUGGUUUGGUCAGUGGUGUUUCAGUCCUGGCUUAGAUCUUUGCGUUUUGCAGAAAGUUCUGUGGAGACCCACAGAGGCUUUCAAAUCUGAGACGAGCAGCCUGCUCGUCAUUUGAAACAAAACAAUGCCUUUUUUUAGCUUUGAUUUAAUCUCUAGGCAUUCUGCAAAUGUCCUUAGAAUCUACCAGACUAAGCUAAUGUAAAUUUAUGAAUAAUAUCCUCAAGAUGCAAGUAAAAUUUGCUUAUGUCUUUAAGCGGUUAGACUCUUUUAAAAACUGCAGCCUGUUAGUAUGCCCCAGGCUGUGCUUCCCUCGACCCAGCAUUCACUUUAGAACAUUAAUUUAAUUGUGUUAAAUUUCCUAGAGGUGUUAAUUGAAGAUGUUGGAAGUAAAGGUAUGAAACCUGGUUCAUAGUCACAAAUGUUUUAUUUCAUCUCCAGAUAGAUUAUUUUUAAGUAAUGUGUAAUUUGGUUUUCAUUUCCUUUCCAUUUUAUUUAAAAGGAAAAGCUUUCUGCAUUGUUACGUGCUGUUGCAUACUUAAUCUGUGCAUUAAGAAUAGCAAAAGUUAGUCUUACAGUAUAGAAGGCUUGCAUGCUACUUGGAAAGUUUAAUCCAUCACCCUGUGUUUAUUUGUCAGCUGUUUAGAUUUCAUUCACUUUGAGUCACAAUCUUUUCUCUCCAACUUGUGUAUGAAGUAUGAAAUAAGUUCAAGAUGUGUUUGUAAGUGUGUGUAUGCAUAUCUCAACUUCUACCCUGCCAGUCAAAGAUUGCCUUAUUUCUUUCUUGGUUUUCCUGAAGAACGUGACUGCAAAUCAAGAUGCUCGGGGUGGGAAAAGUAUCCGUAACCCCCCUAACUGUAUUUGGAAAUCUCAGGUUUGAUACGUGCCAUACAGACAGGUCAGAUACGGAGAGCACAUUCCAUUGUUUUGAAUAAUGUCAUCUUGAAUAUUGCUUAUGGAAAAUGGCUCUGCCUUUUCACACUUCUCCCUCCUGCUUUCCCUUGAUAUGUAUAGAUACAGAUAUGCUGUAAAUGUUAUGCUGAUGGGAGGCUGCUAAUGUGGGUGACCAGUUAGAGCAUUUAUUUGCAAAUAAAACUGGCCCUUGUCUUUUUCCAAAUUAGGGUGUUAUUUUGUUAGGCACAGUAUUUAUUUGUAUGACAUUUCAGCCUUAUGAGUUUCUUUUUAGUCCUUUAUCAUUAUUACCAAUAUUUUUUUAAUUAUUAUCAAAUUCACUGCAUGCCAAUAAUUUUUACGCCUAUGGAAACUGAUAGAAUACCAUAAAUAUUACUCAAGGUUGCUCCUUUCUCCCAUCAUGCAUGGGCUGAUCCAUAGCUCUGGUACCAACAAGUUUCCACGGAUGGUUUCUGAUUGAGUUUCAAAUUGAAAGGAAGAUCUGCUCAGGCUCACAGUUCUGCCUGACCACAACACCCCGUCACCCUGUGGGAAGUGCCGCUCAAAAGGAACGGUGUCAACAGAAAACUCUCCUCUUCUGGCUGAUGAAAGCUGCAGCCAAGUCAGUGCAUAUAGCUUCAGAACACCGCAGGCUCCAGUACUCUGCGAACUCCCAGUUGCUUUUCCCUGUAAUCAGCCAGAAAAAGGUUUUGAAAGGCUCGGGAAUGAAUUGCAGAGUAUGGCUGGACCCAUCUGCCCCAAAACCAUGCGGCUGACACAGGAUGAGAUAAAGGAGGGAUCCUGCCAUCAAAACGGACUUGUUCGGGCAGUACAGCUGACAGGACUUGCAGAAACCAAAAUGGCCAGAUGUCACUUCAACAAGAACCUGCAGUGUCUGGAAGCCCUUUCUGGAAGGACUGAGAACUGUGACAAGAAAGAUAGAUCUGGGGACAUCUACAAAAUUCUCAGGCCAGAUGGGAAGGCUGGAUACAGACCUCCAAGACUGAAUUGACAAGGUCACUGUCUCGUCCAGCAAUCUGACUGCCAUGACCCAGAAAGCUUACCAGGAGAUAGCAGAAAGCAGGAAAGUUUUGGCCAGCCUGGAACUUGCUGGUGCAGAUGAAGAUAUAAGCUAAAAUAUCAAUUUUGGAAUGAAAUCAAAGAAUCUUAGGUCACAUUUGAAGUCUGAGGGUGACAAAAUGAUUGUCAGUCCAUGAUCUCUGUAAGAAGAGAAAUCAGGAGAAAACAGUACUUGUCAUUUGAAAUUUACUGAUGCUCAGGAUAUUUCAGAUCAGCUCAAAAAAUACCAAACCCUCUACUUCUGAGCUAUGGGCUGAAAAGAUGGACAGAAACUGGAGCUCCUAGCAGCCAAAUCCUGUAACUCAAGUACUGUUUAUAAAAUGAAUGAUGAAAAGGGGUGAUCCCGAUCUGAUCCCUGGCCUUACUGGAUGUACAAUUAGGAAAAGUGAUAAUCUUGGUUUGUAAAACAAGGAAAUUUGGCAGCUAUGGAAAAAUUAAAGGAAGCAGUUCAGUUAAAUAUUAGACUUAUGAAAAAAUUGGCCAUAAAAGCUGUUCUGAGGCUGGCCAGGUCAGAGCCUCAGAAACAUUAGAGAAGGUUCUUCAAUCACUUCAGGAAAUGUGAAGACAUGAAGCUGAAGGUGCUGAGCUCCAAAGGAAUGAGGAGAAAGCUUAUAGCUUUUCUCUAGGUUUGGUCAGUCUAUUUUCUGAAUGUAUGUUAAGAUCUGUGAAAUGAAUGGAAUAAAGUUCCCUUUCUCAAACUGAAGUUAUUGGACUAGGUGGACUGAAAAAGAAUAAAUUGGUCUCAAGCAGGGAGAAUGACUACUGGCAAACAUGAAAUAUCCAAAAAGUGGGAAAACUGAUAUUGAAAAUUCAUCCACUUCUGAGCAAGAAAGUAACUAAAAUCAUGGGUCUGGCUGCUUCCAUCGUCUGUUCGUUAUUGCUUGCUGCUGCAGAACCCUCAAGAACUGAAAACAGGCAAUUUAGAUAAAGUAUAAUCUUGACAGAUUUUUGCUGAUCCAUACCACACGUUCGUCGGGACUAAUAAGACAGAUAAGUAAAGGACUUUGUUAUUUAAUGCCAACUCUGGUAAAGCUGUUCUUCGGCACAAGUGGUGAGGUGGUACAGUCUUGGUGUUCAAGUGAUGGGAGAGAGCUACCUGGUUACAGAUUCUGGCCCCACUGAAGACAGUGGGGGUUCUGCCAUUUGACUUCCGCAAAGCGAGGGCUUCACCACACGUUUAAAAGAAUUAUUUCACUGGGACCCUUGUCAGAAUGCUGGUAAACGCAUCAUUUUUAAAUCUACCUUCCUUCUCACAUUUGAAUGUUUGUUUGCCUUACAUGCGCUUCAGAGUAACUUGGUAUAUAAACUUCUCAUCGAUUUCAUUUUUAUUUCAAGUUAAUUUUGAAUCCGUUCAUUUUUUGUAUUUCUUGUGCAUUUAGAGACACCCCCCCAUGGCAAUGUCUGGGCUAAAAACAUGGUAGGGGAGUGUUCGCAUAUUUUGUAUUGCUGGGAUUUAAGCUGAAUUAAAGAAAGACAGAAAUGAAAACAUUUGCAUUUGUUUAUGUAAUUAAAAAAAGUCACAUAAAAUUGGGCCCAAGCUAGCGAGCAUAUCCCUUUAAUGAACACAAACCUUCACCUUUUUUUGCAAGCACACCGUAAAUGGAGAGGCAUACAUGUCAUAUCUGCCGUAUCAAUGUCAUUUUAGAGUAUGUAAAAAACCACUCUAUUUGUCUUAGGAAAUAUCGAAAACUUUUAUAGGGAAUUUGGAAAAUAUUUUUUUGGCUAGCAUGAAAGGUAAAAUCCUGCAGCACAAAGUACAGACAUGGGCACAGAGACUGAACAGACGGGCUGCUGUAAAACAACCAUUUAAUAAGGCAUUAAAAUGCCAUCGACUUGGACACAUAAAAAAAAAGCUAUGAAAACAAAUGCCUUUCAAAUAAUUAGGAUCUUAUGCUUGAGACCAGUGUUGAUCUCUAUGCAGAGAUUUUCCUGCUGAAAUCAGACCAGUCUAAGUCUGAUCGUCUAAGGAAGGAAUUAGCAGCGUAUAAAUCGGCUGCUGCUUGAGAUUUUUCUGUUUCUGCCAUACAUAACCAUUCAUAUAAAUGAUCACUUCAGCCUUUCUAUCUCCUUUCUGUUUCCUAAAGUAUUUUGGAAUACGUUUGAUUUAGGAUGCCAGAAUAAUUUUUUAAUUGAAUCUCAGAUUUUUAUCAUGAGCAUGUGAAAUGGUUGAGUUACUAGCUUUUAGCCAUGCUGUGUGAGUGAACCUGAGCCAGGCUAACAGAUGCAGCCAGAAAUAGCAGCAGAACCCAUUUCUGUGCCUGAAAAUGUAGUGUGACUUUGCUUUCAUUUGAAGGAAUGUACUUGUAUUGAUUUUAAUAUUUAACAAUAGUUUGUAGUGGUAGCUGGUGUGUACAAUAUAUCAAACCGUUGUAUAAAUUUAUCCUUUAAUAAAAAAAAGUUAUUCAAGAACAAACUUAUCACCUAUAAUGUGUACAAAUACAAAAGUAAUUAUGAUAAUUGACCUUUUAUGUCUGUGUGUUUAAGCCUGGCUCACAAAUAUAAUGAUAUUCCUCAUUAGCACAGCUCAGAAAAGCUACAGUAUUCAAAAAGAACUUCUUUAGAAGGAUGUGCAUCUGUGAGAACGUAAUCAACGCGAUAAAACAAAACAAUAGAGCUGGUGUUGAAGAGAUGAGCAUCAGAUUCUCAACUUUAAGUUGGAAUUUAAUAGAUUUUAUUGCAAAAGUAGUGUUAAAUGAAUAUUGUUUUCCUUAUAUACUACAAUUACUGUUUUGAUCUUCAUUUUGCUGAGUACUAACAUCAGUAAUCUUGGAGAAACUAAUGUUUGUCCCUUCUGUAUUUCACGUUGUUUCCUGUUUUGUCAUUAGCCAGCUGUUAGCCCCUAAGGCACGUAUUUUUAAACUUCUAGUCCAGCACGUGUCUUCCUUUCAGGUCUCUCAUUUCAGAUACUCUUCGAUUUUGUGGUUUUCACAUGUAGAACUGGGUCCCAUGGUGAGAGCCCAUCUCCCAAACCAUCAGAAUGGGAAAUCUUUCUAUUGAUGCUGUGAUUUCAUCUGCUAAUCAGUUUUAUAUGACUUUCUGCUAGCCUAGUUUUUCAAGGUGUGAAAAUU